CCGGGCUGAGCGUAGCAGUCUGCGUCCCGCCCUGCUGGCCGCGUCCCCGGCCCGGGCGGCGUGCUCGCGGGGCUGGAAGGCCGCUGCGCGGACAGCGCGGGACCCACGCCCCCGACCACGCCCUCGCCGGCAGCCCUGGGUCGCAGCAGCCCAAGGUGCGCGCGGCGCUGGGGCGGUCGUGGGGAGAGGGUGGUGGUGGUUGGUUAACGCAGAGCGCUGGUCCUCCGAGAGUAGCAGGGUCAGCGCCAUCCUUCGCCCUCUUCCUGGCCACGCCUUGGACCGGUUUCCUGAUUCUCGGCUUGCUGGUCUUGCUGUGUCCUGGCCUCCGAGAGGGCUCCGUGGUAUGUGUAGCUCCUGACUGCCCCGCGGUGGCCUGUCCAGAUGCUCUGUACUGGUUCUGCCCUGCACGCCUGCCUUUUUCCUUCCAGCUGGAAGGGGUCUUCAGUUCCCAGAAGAGCCAACGCGUCUUGGAAUCUAAGUGGGUAAAGAACGGUCUGUGACCUUCACCCUAACCUGGAGGGCCUUCAUUUGGCCCAAUGGCUGCACCUCCGCUGGGCCGUCUGGUGCUAACCCACCUGCUGGUGGCCCUUUUCGGUGUGGGCUCCUGGGCUGCUGUCAACGGAAUCUGGGUGGAGCUGCCCGUGGUGGUGAAAGACCUCCCCGAGGGUGAGUGGGGUGGGGUGGGCGUUGAGCCCGGGAUGGUGGGCAGGCUGCUCUUUGGUCCUCAGCCUUGUGCCCCUGACAAGAUCUCCCCCCACCCCCCUGCAGGUUGGAGCCUCCCCUCGUACCUUUCUGUGCUUGUGGCGCUGGGGAACCUGGGUCUACUGAUGGUGACCCUGUGGAGGCGGCUAGCUCCCGGCAAGGGGGAGCGGGUCCCCAUCCAGGUGGUGCAGGGACUAAGUAUGGUGGGCACAGCCCUGCUGGCCCCUCUGUGGCACCAUGUGGCCCCAGUGGCGGGGCAGCCCCACUCAGUAGCCUUCCUGACACUGACACUGGUGCUGGCGUUGGCCUGUUGUGCCUCUAAUGUCACUUUCCUGCCCUUCCUGAGCCACUUGCCACCUCCUUUCUUGCGGUCUUUCUUCCUGGGUCAGGGCCUCAGUGCUCUGCUGCCCUGCAUACUGGCCCUGGUGCAGGGUGUGGGUCGCCUUGAGUGUCUGCCUGCCCCAGCCAAUGGUACCCCUGGGCCCCCCAUCAACUUCCCUGAGCGUUUUUCUGCCAGCACAUUCUUCUGGGCACUGACCGCCCUCCUGGUCACUUCAGCUGCUGCCUUCCAGGGUCUCCUGCUGCUGCUGCCUCCUUCACCACCAUCUGUACCCACUGGGGGCCCUGGGCCAGGCCUACGGGUGGGAACACCAGGAGUGGAGGAGGAGGAGGAGGAGGAGGAGGAGGAAUCACCAUUGCAGGAAUCCCCAAGUCAGGCAGCAGGCACCCCCCUCCCAGACCCCCAGGCUUCUCAGCUGUUCUCAGUCCGGGGUGCCUGCCUGCUGGGCCUGCUGGCUGUCACCAACGCACUGACCAACGGCGUGCUGCCUGCAGUGCAGAGCUUUUCCUGUCUGCCCUAUGGGCGCCUGGCCUACCACCUGGCUGUGGUGCUGGGUAGCUCCGCCAACCCCCUGGCCUGCUUCCUGGCCAUGGGCAUACUGUGCAGGUGAACAUGGGCCCAAGCUUGUUGGUGGGGGACAAUGUAGGGGUAGGGUCCUGAUCCUGGCUCAGCCAGUCCUGAGUUCCUCCCCCUCUCUGGCAGGUCCCUGGCAGGGCUGUGUGGUCUCUCUCUGCUAGGCUUGCUCUUUGGGGCCUACCUGAUGGCACUGGCAAUCCUGAGCCCCUGCCCUCCCCUAGUGGGCACCUCUACAGGCGUGGUCCUUGUGGUAGGUACAGUGGGUCAUGAAGUGGGGAAGGGGAUUGCCCCUGUGCAAGAGCAUCUCACACUCAGCCUGCUGCUGUCAUCUGCCUCUCAGGUGUUGUCGUGGGUGCUGUGUGCAGGUGUGUUCUCGUAUGUCAAGGUGGCGAUCAGCUCCAUGCUGCACGGCGGGGGGCGGCCAGCACUGCUAGCGGCUGGUGUGGCCAUCCAGGUGGGCUCCCUGCUCGGUGCUGUUGCCAUGUUCCCUCCCACCAGCAUCUAUCACGUGUUCCACAGUGGAGAAGAUUGUGUGGACCUGUGUGGUCCUUGAGCCUGUGCAGGUGGGACUCUCCACCCACCCCCCAACCUCCCACCUCCACCUGGACACUACCACAAUACCUGAGCACCUGCUGCCCAGGGAGGCUUCCCGCCCAACACUGACACGUUCACGGACACCUGCACACUCCACAGGAGCCCCUGGCAAUUUCAUUCCAGGGUGGGGAUCAAAGAGCAGGCCUGAAGCCAGGGACAGGUUGGGUCUGCAGGCUUGGCCCUGGGCCUAGGACCUUCAUGGGUUUGCACAAUAAAGCAUCUUUAUUCAGUGGGCAGUUGUUAAUCACAUGAGC
This 2466-nucleotide long non-coding RNA is filed under the name Marmota monax (woodchuck). Lineage: Eukaryota; Metazoa; Chordata; Mammalia; Rodentia; Sciuridae. The record is from RNAcentral.